UCAUAGAUUUAGAGUUGGUUUGACAAGCUGUUGUGAAGUCAUGACUGAUACAGGUAAAGAGAGAUGUGCUCAGCAAGUGGUAGAACAAUAACAUAUCACCCUCGGGAAUAUGCAGCUCAGCCUCCAAGUUUUAUAGAUGACUAAAUGUUUGUGAAAAGUCACAGCCUAGCUUUAAUUGUGGAAUGACCUGGUUGUAUAGUGGAUCUGGAAGCAGAAACAAAACAGAAUAGACAGGAAAAAAAAAAAAGACCGAUCUUGGAUGAUGUGAUUUAAUGGGUUUCAGUUAAAGCUUGGAAGAGUAAAUCAAAAACUAACUUAAUAUUUGUUGUAGGUUCUUACCAUUUAUUUUACGGAACGACACUACCAGCAUUAAUGGUUUAAAGAGAAACAGCUCAAACUAGUGAUGAUGUGGACUUCAGUAUUGUCCCUUCAAGAAAGUGUAACUGACAAGCAACAGUGACAGCAUAUGAAUUUACAAUUAAAGAAUAUCAGUCAUGGAAUAUUAGCUGAAGACCUCUCUUAACUACAAACAAACUUUAUGAAGAAAAAGUUAAUAAGCUUUACGCUCCUAAAAAGAAAAUAAGUAUAAUCCUGUGAAUUAGAUGGAAAAAUACUGCAGCUGAACAUAACGUUGUUUUGUCACUAGCAAAUUCACUGCUGGCACUGAAUUCAGCCUGCAACAGUAAAGAGGUCAUGACACAACAUCUGUUUUGUGGAGAGCAUAGUUAUUACCACCAGUAAUACUGUGAACGCUGGAAUGGAAAAAAUAACUCUAGACCAGAGCUGCUGUAGUAAUGUCUUUGACCAUUGUGUGGGUUACAGGAGCUGGAUUUCCCCUGGAUGUGUGCUUGGAAGGCCUGACAAGGAAUAAUUCCAGCCACAAAUAAGGCCAUGACCCUGCAAAACAAGAAGUGCUAGCGGCUGCUUUUUGCACCAACGUGAAGUUGACAUGGAGCUUUGCUUGCAGCAUUAAGCAGGUGAACAGUAAAGAAAGCAGUUGCCAGUUACAUCCAGGGUGUUUUAAUCAGAGAGAGACUUCCAGUCAGUGUCCACAGCUAGUUGAGCAGCUAGGGAUUUUAUUAUUUCUAUUGGUCUUAAUGUGAAGUGUGCCAAAGUGACAGUAUGGAGCAUUUUCUGCACUGAUGCCUGUGAGUGGGGUUAACGUUAGCCCACUUUCUAUAAGAAACUUGGCCAGAGGGGUUUUGCUGCGGGCUACCUGGUAGAUCACUG
RNAcentral lists this long non-coding RNA (1230 nucleotides) under Anser brachyrhynchus (Pink-footed goose). Its description in RNAcentral is "lncRNA (ENSABRG00000015474.1)". Lineage: Eukaryota; Metazoa; Chordata; Aves; Anseriformes; Anatidae. The record is from RNAcentral.